CCUACGGGAGGCUGCAGUGGGGAAUAUUGGACAAUGGGCGCAAGCCUGAUCCAGCCAUGCCGCGUGAGUGAUGAAGGCCCUAGGGUUGUAAAGCUCUUUCGCCAGGGACGAUAAUGACGGUACCUGGAUAAGAAGCCCCGGCUAACUUCGUGCCAGCAGCCGCGGUAAUACGAAGGGGGCUAGCGUUGUUCGGAUUUACUGGGCGUAAAGCGCACGUAGGCGGAUUUUUAAGUCAGGGGUGAAAUCCCAAGGCUCAACCUUGGAACUGCCUUUGAUACUGGAAGUCUCGAGUCCGGGAGAGGUGAGUGGAACUGCGAGUGUAGAGGUGAAAUUCGUAGAUAUUCGCAAGAACACCAGUGGCGAAGGCGGCUCACUGGCCCGGUACUGACGCUGAGGUGCGAAAGCGUGGGGAGCAAACAGGAUUAGAUACCCCAGUAGUC
This 440-nucleotide ribosomal RNA is filed under the name uncultured bacterium. RNAcentral's name for it is "partial 16S ribosomal RNA". It matches the Rfam family "Bacterial small subunit ribosomal RNA", at positions 338 to 795 of the family's 1533-position model. The record is from RNAcentral.